Molecule: ribosomal RNA, 397 nt
Filed under: uncultured bacterium
Lineage: Bacteria
Description: partial 16S ribosomal RNA
Rfam family: Bacterial small subunit ribosomal RNA
Source: RNAcentral
CUACGUAGGGGGCGAGCGUUGUCCGGAAUGAUUGGGCGUAAAGGGCGCGUAGGCGGCCCGGUAAGUCUGGAGUGAAAGUCCUGUUUUUAAGAUGGGAAUUGCUUUGGAUACUGUCGGGCUUGAGUGCAGGAGAGGUAAGUGGAAUUCCCAGUGUAGCGGUGAAAUGCGUAGAGAUUGGGAGGAACACCAGUGGCGAAGGCGACUUACUGGACUGUAACUGACGCUGAGGCACGAAAGUGUGGGGAGCAAACAGGAUUAGAUACCCUGGUAGUCCACACUGUAAACGAUGAAUGCUAGGUGUAGGGGGUAUCGACCCCUUCUGUGCCGCAGUCAACACAAUAAGCAUUCCGCCUGGGGAGUACGGCCGCAAGGUUGAAACUCAAAGGAAUUGACGGGG